Molecule: long non-coding RNA, 1546 nt
Filed under: Toxoplasma gondii VEG
Lineage: Eukaryota; Apicomplexa; Conoidasida; Eucoccidiorida; Sarcocystidae
Source: RNAcentral
UCUGAGUCCAGCAGGAUUAGGGAGAUCAUGACGAUGAAAUCGAGAUCCCACGGCCAUGCAAAGCUGUCAUCGUGGGCGUGAUCGUUAUCCUGAAACCAGUCACUAUCAUCAGAUUCUAAACUGUCUUCGAAUUCCCAAGAGUCUACGCCAAGCAGCGCGCCGUUUCCCCUGUCGAACCCUACCCGCGGAAGUAGGAGAUCCUCCAGCGUUUCCUUAGAGACAGAACCAUCACUUAGGUGACGCAGCUCGAAUUCCAGGGACCCGUGCUGCUGGAUCAGGCGAUGGCUCUGAAGGGAAACAAGUGAUUCCAGGAAAGCUGUGAGACGCUGCUGUUGCUCCAAGAGUUCCUGCACGUGGGUCGCUAGUACUACGAGUUCUGUCGGAUUACCAAAUGCCAGAUCAUGAACGGAAGAGCUACCUUUCUUUCUGUCAUGUUUCACCCCUUCGCUGUGACCGGCCACACCUUCCUCAGUUGUUCGAGCCCGACCUUGCCACUCUUCCAAACUCUGUUGGUCACUUCGCGAGCCGCGAGAAUCCGUCGCACCGAGGAGUACAUGUCGAGGAACUAAGCGGACGACACUGAGACUUGCGAGCUGUUUUUGAAGCGUAUCGACGGUCUGUUGGAGACUUGCCAAACCCCUGCGGAACUCCGUUUUUGCUUCUCGCAAGGAAUCUCUGUGGGUCUCCUCUUGUCCUUUAUUUCUCCCUCUCGAAGAGAGGAGGAGCAGUCGACGGUGCUCAAGUUCCUCGUAGCGCCUCCACUCUUCACCUAGCGAUGCCUGCUGGUCUUUAGCUCGACCUAAAAGCUUUUCAAGUGCCUCUUUGGUGGCUGUCUCAAUGCCACUGGCGACUGCCACAACUUCCCUUUGACGUUCGUGCAGCGCAGAACGUCUCGAAUCUGUAAGUGGGAGCUUUGGAGACGGGUUGAUCCAUUUGUGUUUCUGGAAGCCCUCAAUCUUCAGUUUGCCCUGUAUUCUUUUUUGUCCUCCUUUUGGCUGUGUCCCGAUGCCGCCCUGAUGGGAUUGACCAUCACCUGAUGUAAAUUGCUGUUCAGCAGCCUGCUUUUCAGUCAUUGAGAAGCCCUGCAGCUGUCGCGGCUUCUCUGAAGACAGGGACGGAUUCCGUUUAGACUGUCUGGCAACGUCAGAGUCUGUUGCCUGGUCCACAGGGUUUCUGAAUUUUCCCUCUAAACCGGUAGCUCUGCGCUUGUCUCCCACUUUCUUCCCACUCUUUUCAUCCUGCGUCAAAGUCCCAACCACAUUAUGCUGCUCCUUGAUGGUUGACUCUCUUCCCAACUGCACCUCCGCUAACAUCUCAGGGAUAUGAGCAAGGCUUUUGGUCGAGAUGUUGGUGUACCAAAGUGGGUUAUCAACCACUGUAACGUGAGCAAGAACAAGAGAUGCAGUGUCAUCCGUCGUUGAUAACGGUGCAGAAUAUCGUGGCGACGAAUGAUUAAGGAACACGGGAGUGGCAUGCUCUGGUGAUGUUUGUGAAUCCAGAACUCUCCGAUUCGUUGGAGUGCCCGAAACAUCUAAGUGAGCAGCCG